Molecule: long non-coding RNA, 267 nt
Organism: Melopsittacus undulatus (budgerigar)
Lineage: Eukaryota; Metazoa; Chordata; Aves; Psittaciformes; Psittaculidae
Exons: 3
Source: RefSeq, a predicted model, not a curated record
CUCCCCCCGCGCAUGCGCAGAGCGGCGGCGGCGGCUCCGGACGCAGGCACCGGCGUGGGCGUGGCUUAGCGAGGGGCGUGUCCCUGCGGUGGGCGUGGCCUCAGGGAUGAUGCUGUCGGGCGGGCGCCAGGACGGAGCCUUCGAUGGGGACGAGGAGGAGGAGGAGGAAGAGGAAGCACCAGCUCUCCCAGAUGAUGAUUCCUCUGAGGCCACUUCGGUGUCAUCUGAGGACAGUUCCCCCCCCACCCCUCCCCCCUCCAACGGCUG